UUCCGGUUGAUCCUGCCAGAGGCCACUGCUAUCGGAGUUCGAUUAAGCCAUGCGAGUCGAGAGGGGAAAGCCCUCGGCAUACUGCUCAGUAACACGUGGAUAACCUGCCCUGCGGUGGGAAAUAACCCCGGGAAACUGGGGAUAAUGUCCCAUAGACUACGGAUACUGGAAUGUUCUGUAGUUCAAAGAUUUAUCGCCACAGGAUGGGUCUGCGGCCGAUUAGGUAGUUGUUGGGGUAACGGCCCAACAAGCCUUUGAUCGGUACGGGUUGUGGGAGCAAGAGCCCGGAGAUGGAUUCUGAGACACGAAUCCAGGCCCUACGGGGCGCAGCAGGCGCGAAAACUAUACAAUGCGGGAAACCGUGAUAAGGGAACUCCGAGUGUCCGUAAAUGCGGACUGUCCGUAUGUUUAAAAAGCAUGCGAAGAAAGGGCCGGGCAAGACCGGUGCCAGCCGCCGCGGUAAUACCGGCGGCUCGAGUGGUGGCCACUAUUAUUGGGCUUAAAGCGUUCGUAGCUGGGUUGUUAAGUUUCUUGGGAAAUCUACCGGCUUAACCGAUAGGCGUCCAAGGGAUACUGGCAAUCUAGGGACCGGGAGAGGUGAGGGGUACUUCAGGGGUAGGAGUGAAAUCCUGUAAUCCUUGGGGGACCACCUGUGGCGAAGGCGCCUCACCAGAACGGCCCCGACAGUGAGGGACGAAAGCUGGGGGAGCAAACCGGAUUAGAUACCCGGGUAGUCCCAGCCGUAAACGAUGCGCGUUAGGUGUAUCGAUGACCACGAGUCAUCGAGGUGCCGAAGGGAAACCGUGAAACGCGCCGCCUGGGAAGUACGGUCGCAAGGCUGAAACUUAAAGGAAUUGGCGGG
RNAcentral lists this ribosomal RNA (862 nucleotides) under uncultured Methanosphaerula sp. RNAcentral's name for it is "bacterial SSU rRNA". It matches the Rfam family "Archaeal small subunit ribosomal RNA", at positions 1 to 872 of the family's 1478-position model. Lineage: Archaea; Methanobacteriati; Methanobacteriota; Methanomicrobia; Methanomicrobiales; Methanoregulaceae. The record is from RNAcentral.